CCAGACUCCUACGGGAGGCAGCAGUAGGGAAUCUUCCACAAUGGACGAAAGUCUGAUGGAGCAACGCCGCGUGAGUGAAGAAGGGUUUCGGCUCGUAAAGCUCUGUUGGUAGUGAAGAAAGAUAGAGGUAGUAACUGGCCUUUAUUUGACGGUAAUUACUUAGAAAGUCACGGCUAACUCCGUGCCAGCAGCCGCGGUAAUACGGGGGAUGCAAGCGUUAUCCGGAUUUAUUGGGUUUAAAGGGUGCGUAGGCUGUGAGGUAAGUCAGCGGUGAAAUGCCCCCGCUCAACGGGGUGAAGUGCCAUUGAUACUGCCUUGCUGGAAUGCGGAUGCCGUGGGAGGAAUGUGUGGUGUAGCGGUGAAAUGCAUAGAUAUCACACAGAACACCGAUUGCGAAGGCAUCUCACGAAUCCGCGAUUGACGCUGAUGCACGAAAGCGUGGGUAUCAAACAGGAUUAGAUACCCGCGUAC
Molecule: ribosomal RNA, 471 nt
Filed under: uncultured bacterium
Lineage: Bacteria
Description: bacterial SSU rRNA
Rfam family: Bacterial small subunit ribosomal RNA
Source: RNAcentral